This 445-nucleotide long non-coding RNA is filed under the name Mytilus galloprovincialis (Mediterranean mussel). Lineage: Eukaryota; Metazoa; Mollusca; Bivalvia; Mytilida; Mytilidae. The record is from RNAcentral.
GUCAAUUUAACUCAUUUUCCAUGAUCGCUUGGCCUUUUAUGGACUUUGCGUUAUAUUGUUUUUUUCCGUUUAGUAUAAUGCUGAUAUGCAAUGUUAUCAUUAUUCGGACAAUCAUCAAAUCAUUCAAGCGGUUUGCAACUAUCAAAGAAAAAACAUCGCCUAAUAAUUUGACAAAUGAAGCAAAUUCCAGACGGCAACGCAAUCGAAAUUCGAAUAUGACGGCCAUGUUACUUUCAGUGAAUAUAUCCUUCCUCGUUUGUACACUUCCGGUUUCAGUGUAUUACAUCUGUGAGAGUUUUUUCAUGGACGCAGACCCAUCACUUAUGAAUCUUCUUGAAACAAUUUCAAGCUUAUUGAUGUAUAUGAACAAUGCUAUUAGUUUCUUUCUAUACUGUCUUAGUGGGACAAAAUUCAGAAGAGAAUUAGUGAAAAUGUUAAAACGGAC